UGUGCCAGCAGCCGCGGUAAUACAUGAGUAGCAAACGUUAAUCAUGAUGGUUGGGUGUAAAAAAUACUUUGACGAUACCAAUAAUUGUUUUUUUUGAUAAAACUCUUAUAAGUUGAAAAAAUAUAAUAAAUUAUGUAUUCUUUGUAAAAAGUAAAAGAUAAAAUUUCUUAAUUUUUUAUAAAGCCUAAUUAAUGAAAAUAAAAUAAUUGUUAUAUUUGGUGUUUAGGUAUGAAAGUAUAGGAACUGAAAAGGAUUAGUGACCCUUGUAAACUAUACUGUAAAAUAUAGGUAUUAACAGAUAGACAUUUUUGUAAAGCUAACGCGUAAAUAUCUUACCUGGGUAGUACAACCGCAAGGUUUAAACUUAAAAAAAUUGGCGGGACCUAAUUUAAUGGUGGAGCAUGUGAUUUAAUUCGGUAAUCCUCGCAAAACCUUACUAACAUUCUAAUAAUUUUUAUUUUUAUUUGACAUAUAAUAAAUUUAAAUUAUUUCGAGUACUGCAUGGCUGUCGUCAGUUCGAAUUGUGAAACGUAAAAUUAAGUUUUAAUAGCGAACGCAACCCUAACUUUAUUAUAAUGUUAUUAUUUAUUAAUUUAAAUAAUUUAGGAUGAGGGCAAGUCUUUACGAUCUCUAAAUGUUAGGCUAUCCAUUUGUUACAAUGAAAAAAACAAAGAAUUUUUUAUAGUAAAUUAUAAAGAAUUUCUAAAAAUUUUCUUAGUUCGAAUUAUUUAAUAAAACUUUUAAAUAUGAAGGCGGAAUCAUUAGUAAUCGUAAAAUAGUACGUUACGGUGAAUACACACAUUAGGUUUGCACACACCGCCCAUCACGCUCGAAAAGUUUUCUGGAUUAAAGUUAAAUUAUAUUGAGUACAUUUGUACGUUAAUAUUUUAAGAUAAAUUUAGAAGGUGAUUGGAGUGAAGUUGACACAAGGUACUGGUAGGGG
RNAcentral lists this ribosomal RNA (943 nucleotides) under Chilodonella piscicola. RNAcentral's name for it is "partial small subunit ribosomal RNA". It matches the Rfam family "Bacterial small subunit ribosomal RNA", at positions 504 to 1508 of the family's 1533-position model. The record is from RNAcentral. Lineage: Eukaryota; Ciliophora; Phyllopharyngea; Chlamydodontida; Chilodonellidae.